This 939-nucleotide ribosomal RNA is filed under the name Triticum aestivum (bread wheat). RNAcentral's name for it is "partial small subunit ribosomal RNA". Lineage: Eukaryota; Viridiplantae; Streptophyta; Magnoliopsida; Poales; Poaceae. The record is from RNAcentral.
AUGCCAGGAGGAGAUGAGCCAGUUUUCGGAGGUAGGGAAGCGUUUGCAGGUGCAGGCAGGGGAGGGAAUGGUGGUGCUGCUGGGCGAGCGAUCAGAGGUAGGGGAGGGAAUGGUGUUGGGGCCAGGGGACCUGCAGCCGUGGGUGCAGGCAUAGGAGGACAGUUCCAGUUCCAAGUAGGAGGGUACGGUGGCGGAGCCAGGCCAGCGGCAGGCAGAGGAGCAGCCAGACGACAGUUCCCGGUGGGCGGGUACGGUGGCGGAGCCAGGGCAGGGGCAGGCGGAGGAGAGUUUGUAGGUGCGGGUGGAGGACAGUUCCCGGCGGGAGGGAACGGUGGUGGGGGAAUGGGAGCUGCAGCCGUGAGAGCGUUCGCAGGUCCGGUCAGAGGACCGGGAUGGUUGUACGGUGGUGGAGUCCAGGGAGCUGCAGCCGUGGGAGAGUUUGGAGGGGCUAGGGGAGGAGACUUCAGAAGGAACGACGAUGAUAUUCUGCCCGCUGUUCUACCGAGGAAUUAUGCGAGGGUCGGAGAGUUGUGGCGUGGUCCGGCGGUGGAGUCCAACACUCAGGCGACCACUGGGUCUGGGACCGGCAGCAGGCCAGCCUCUACUACGACGAAAUCGCAAUCUUUUUCUACAGCUCAGACGACGAAUUCACAAUCUUUUUCUGCAGCUCAGCCGACGAAUUCACAACCACAAACAAGCGUGAAUUAUGACAACAUGUACCCCUAUCGGCAGCUGGGAUCCCAAACUUUACAAUGGCGUCAACAGGCACAGCACCACCCCAACCCUCCUCAGCAGCAGCAGACACCAUGGCGUCAACAACGGUCUGCUCAUGCUCUGGCUUCUCUAUUUUCUUUCAGAAUGCUCUGCUGCACGUUACUUUUGUUCGAGCGUUGUCUAACUUUCAAUCCUGUCAUGCUGCGUGAAAUGGUUGAACAGUGA